CUACGGGCGGCAGCAGUGGGGAAUAUUGGACAAUGGGGGAAACCCUGAUCUAGCCAUGCCGCGUGAGUGAUGAAGGCCUUAGGGUUGUAAAGCUCUUUCGCUGGGGAAGAUAAUGACGGUACCCAGUAAAGAAACCCCGGCUAACUCCGUGCCAGCAGCCGCGGUAAUACGGAGGGGGUUAGCGUUGUUCGGAAUUACUGGGCGUAAAGCGCGCGUAGGCGGGCUAUUAAGUCAGGGGUGAAAUCCCGGGGCUCAACCCCGGAACUGCCUUUGAUACUGGUAGUCUUGAGUUCGAGAGAGGUGAGUGGAAUUCCGAGUGUAGAGGUGAAAUUCGUAGAUAUUCGGAGGAACAUCAGUGGCGAAGGCGACUCACUGGCUCGAUACUGACGCUGAGGUGCGAAAGUGUGGGGAGCAAACAGGAUUAGAUACCCUCGUAGUC
RNAcentral lists this ribosomal RNA (439 nucleotides) under uncultured bacterium. RNAcentral's name for it is "partial 16S ribosomal RNA". It matches the Rfam family "Bacterial small subunit ribosomal RNA", at positions 339 to 795 of the family's 1533-position model. The record is from RNAcentral.